RNAcentral lists this transfer RNA (67 nucleotides) under Pyxicephalus adspersus. Its description in RNAcentral is "tRNA-Ser". Lineage: Eukaryota; Metazoa; Chordata; Amphibia; Anura; Pyxicephalidae. The record is from RNAcentral.
GAACUAGUCUGGAGUAGUGAGAACUGCUAAUUCCUCACGACCACAGUUCAAUUCUGUGGCUAGAUCA